GUCACAAUGUAAUUAAAACGAAACAAGAACAGAGACCAAUGUGCUUGCCUAUCUGAUAGCCUCUUCGCUUCUCCAAAAUAGGACAAGUUCUUAUGGUCUAUGAAGAUUUUUACAGGAAUGGAGGAUCCCUCUAAUUCAUGUCUCCAUUCCUUCAGGGCCAUGAUUAUAGCCAACAACUCCCUGUUCCCAAUGUCAUAUGAUUUGUCGGUGUCAGUUAAUUUCUUC
This is a non-coding RNA of Pelobates cultripes (western spadefoot toad), 225 nucleotides long. The record is from the annotation of a GenBank genome assembly. Lineage: Eukaryota; Metazoa; Chordata; Amphibia; Anura; Pelobatidae.